This 3978-nucleotide unclassified non-coding RNA is filed under the name Leishmania donovani. RNAcentral describes it as "gene:LdHU3.32.3240(CDS-product:hypothetical_prote in_conserved)". Lineage: Eukaryota; Euglenozoa; Kinetoplastea; Trypanosomatida; Trypanosomatidae. The record is from RNAcentral.
AGGCACAUCCGCGCAUUCGUAUAGAGAAACUAGAAGAGAAGGUAGAGUCAGGACGCGGGGAGGGGGAGCACUCGCAUCAAUCCUUUGCUUGCUCGCUUCGUUCUUUUAGAGUACUUGUGCGUGUCCAUGUCUGCACCUGCGCACGCGUGUCGGUGUAUCGUUGUUUCUUCCCCUCCCUCUGUCUCAGGGCAUGCCCUCGCCGGUGUACAGCUGCGCAUACAUCCGUUUACCGUUUUUUUUUGUUCGUGGACAAGCCAACGCGCUUUCUGCAUGUAGACAGACCGACCGAUCGACGCACACGCAGAAGAACCUACAGAGCGACAGGGGUGCUUCGCUGUCACACGUUCGCGUAAACUCGCACAGACUUCGAAAAGAGCUUCGGUGCCUUGGCGCACAGAACACCCCCUUUUUCCCCCCACGUCACGCAAGCCCACUUGUGAGUGUCCCUCAUGUCGGUCCCACCGUGCACCUAUACCGACAGCAGGCCUUGGCAGACUCGCAUGAUUGCUUUUUGUCGUGACUGCAGUGCUCUCGCCGCUACCUUCUCUUCUGAGCUGCGGUAGAUAUUUUCAGACACCAUCAGCUUCGCACCGUGACAUGCCGGUGGGCAGUAGGGCAGUUGGCCUGUGUGCCGGUUUCUGCUGGUUUUAUCGACUUCCUCAAGUAGGCUGGCGCAGACGUCGAGCAGCCCUCAUUCGAGCUGCAGCCGCUUGAGUGAGCCGCCUGUGCCAGUGGAACACCGAGCGUGCACCUAGAGUAAUUUGAAUCACACACAGAGUAACUCACUCGCUGGCCCUUCUCUAUAACAGUACACAUGCCACCGAGCGGUCUGUCCCAGGUGCAGAGGUCGCGACACAUUACCGCCUCCACCCACGUGCUCGCCACUCGUCUCACGCACAACACGGCGGAGCGUGUGACUGUUGGCAACACACCCCUCCACAUUCUUCAUCUCUGCGAUGUGCAGUGCGUCGCCCCACUCUUUGCCUCGUGCGUGUCGCUCACCACCAUGACGAUUCACUUGAAAUACGUGGCGUCGUCGACGGCACUGGAGGCGCUGCUGUGUGCGGCGGCAACAUCCCCGACUCUGACGCACAUCUCUGUGAUAGGUGGGGUAACUUCGAUGGAGUCCGUGGCCGUGGCAUCUGGGCUUGCGGCGUUCACGUGGAAUGAGAGGGUGCACGCGCAAAGAGUGUUGCGUGCCGAUGCCACCUCUGAUUCGCCGCUUCCGCGCACAGUUCGCCGCGUGCCGUCCGCGCUGGAGGUCUACCCUGUCAUGAGCGGUCGGGGCGGAGAGCCAGGAAACGCGCGUUGGCGUCGGUACCCGUCCUCCGACCGAUCAGCGGCUCUUUCUCCGUAUGCGCGCACUCCUCCUCUCGCGCAUCUGCGGCCGAAGCGAUGCGCGAACAGCGAGUGUGGCGUGCCACCGCCACCCAGCGCUUCCUCACGCCCCUCCCAAUGGAGACUGCGAAGGGGUGGUGUGAUGUGGCCGGUACUCUACACAGUCUCUCCGCGGGUCAUGCCGGUUUCGCAUCCGGCGUCACUGGCAUCGUCUCCGGUUUUUCUGCGUACCCCUCCGCAUGUGAGACCGCUUUCUGACCACCACCUUGAAGGUGGGGUUCACCUCACUCUUGAGCUGCACAGGCUGGAGGAGGCUACAGCGGCGCUGCUGUUGGACGGACUGCGCAGGGCCCAUCGCAUCAUCUCGGCAGAGGUGCGACUGUGCGUGGUGACUGUGGAUGCGCGGCGCGCAGGGCAGCGUCUGGCCCACGAGGCAACAAAAGCAGCGGCACAUCACCGCCAGCAGCGAUUACUGCGCUUGACGCAGUCUGCGGCGAGUGCCGCUGCGCGUCCGCGUCGCCUUCCGCAGGCGAGAGCGAAGGGGCAAGACGGUGUUGCUCGCUGUCGAUGGCCACCACACACCAGUGGUCUGCGGGUCUCUCCCAGACCGGGCUUGCGCACCCCAGUCCCACCGCCACCUUCACCGCCGCAGCGUCCUCCUGCAUCACCGCGGCCAGUGACGGCAGUAGAACCAGAUGCCAGGUGCGCGAAUCAAGGAGGGCGCAGACCACUGCUCUCCGUAGAGGCGCGUGGCCCACACCAGCAGACGGCGAGGCGCCACGUGCAACGGCUUGCACCAAGGUGUCCAAUAGAGGGUGUUGCGCUUCCCUGGAAAAGUUGCGGCACACCUGUGCAGCCGCGCACGCCUCUGAAGCCGUCGCCAUCCUCUGCGGCUGGUGGGGGCGCAACUAUGAGGGCUCACCGUCCCGUCCUCUCCGACAAUGAGCGGGUAGCUGUACAGACCAGCCAGGCCGAUGCUUUCCGUCGUCGGGGCCGGCACGCCUCUCCUCCGCCCGCGGGAGUUGGAGCAAACGCCCUUUCCGGUCUCGUGUCACCGCAUCAACAUCUGGCGCGGGCUGGCCGGCUCUACAGCCCCCCGCGAUGGGUGAGUCGUGCCCAGCUGCUUGCUAACGGUGCCGCGCCUCCUGCACUGCCACUCUCCAAGGUAGCGUUUUGCCCCACCCCCCGAAGCGCUUCCGCGCAGGGCACUUUAUCGCCUGCUGGAUUGCAGCUUGAGCCUUGCGCAUCCUCAUCCUCCUCGUGGUCGUCGCGGUCGUCAUCGCCACUACCGCGGCCACCGCAGCCGUCGCCGCGCCGAGCCGCCGAGGCCUUCGCGAACUUUGUGGCCCGGGAACAGGCAGUGGAGGAUGAGAAAGGGGAACACGCCACGCGGCCAGCUCAGCGAACACCGCCGGGCUCCGUCUCCGCGCGCCUCGAACGGCGCAGUCUCCGCCGGCUUGCCUCCUCUGCUCGCGCACCUCACUCACCUCAGUCCUACCCUGACGCUCUUUGCUCUCCGCGGUACUGUGUUCGCCGCGGGAGUGACAGCCUGGGUCUGGGGGCAGGGCAUCGCCGCAUCCCUCGCCCGCAGACGCCGCCUCGCUGCUCUUCCUCUCGGUGCACUUGCUUUGUGUGUCGCUCUCGCCCGCCGCGAUCUCCGGUGGCGAGCGCACGACCGACGCCGCGUACGGCAACGCCAGCAAACUUGGAGAACGCGAUACUGGCUCUUGCGGCAGCGACGGCUAGUGCGCCGCGACCACGGCAAACCCAUAAGCACGAUGUGACUUCUGCACGCGAAGGCAGGGAUGAUGGUGACGUCACGCCUACGACGCACUCGGCGGCGACGUCGGUGAACGGCAUUACACCGACACGGAGACGGAGCGGAGGAGAACGAGAGAGCGACAGUGCCGCCGCUUUUCACGAGGCCGCGACUUCCGCGUCUUCCUCGUCGCGACGCGCCUCCCGCAGCGCUCACGCGGCGGCAGACAGCGUGCACCGAUCCCUGAGUAUGGACCUCGGGGAAGGCGACCAUUCCAGCGCUCGACACAGUAGGGCGCGUGCGCGGAUGGAGCCGGCAGCGCACAGAUGCGAAGGAUCGCACUUGCAGGUCUCGCACACCCAGAUGCCCUCGUCUGUGUCGCUGCAGUCUCCUGAGCAUCAACAGCGUGACGAGGAGGUGGGUUACGUAGUGUACCAGAACUCUGUGGCUUUCCUGCGCGCGCGUGUGACGGAGAUCAACCGGCAUGUGGUGUGGCACCAGGUUCAGUCAGCUAAGGCCGUUGAGGCGCAUUCGAAGAGACUGGCGGAGCUGGGGGUGACGUUUUCCGACCGAGUCACGGAGGAGCUGACAAACAUCUUGAUGGUGCUCACCGACAUGGAGCACGGAUCUCGCAUUGGCAGCCGACGCUGAAGUGCCUCUUCGCCUUUUCGCUCGUGCGUGCCCUGUGAGCGGCAUGGCUUCUUUCCGUGCGGCGCGCUGCCGCUUCUCGUUUUCUGCGGCGCAUUUCGUUUGUAUUUUUUUUUUUCGCUGUCGUUUUGUUGUAUCAUCGUGUGUCUUGCGCCCAUUCCGCUUUCCUCUCUGCUAGUCGCCACGGAUCGCACAGGCAUGCCCGCGUUGCAUGUCUCUGCCAGUGAGCACAG